Molecule: ribosomal RNA, 1334 nt
Filed under: Vibrio owensii
Lineage: Bacteria; Pseudomonadati; Pseudomonadota; Gammaproteobacteria; Vibrionales; Vibrionaceae
Description: 16S ribosomal RNA
Rfam family: Bacterial small subunit ribosomal RNA
Source: RNAcentral
CGGGUGAGUAAUGCCUAGGAAAUUGCCCUGAUGUGGGGGAUAACCAUUGGAAACGAUGGCUAAUACCGCAUAAUGCCUACGGGCCAAAGAGGGGGACCUUCGGGCCUCUCGCGUCAGGAUAUGCCUAGGUGGGAUUAGCUAGUUGGUGAGGUAAUGGCUCACCAAGGCGACGAUCCCUAGCUGGUCUGAGAGGAUGAUCAGCCACACUGGAACUGAGACACGGUCCAGACUCCUACGGGAGGCAGCAGUGGGGAAUAUUGCACAAUGGGCGCAAGCCUGAUGCAGCCAUGCCGCGUGUGUGAAGAAGGCCUUCGGGUUGUAAAGCACUUUCAGUCGUGAGGAAGGUGGUGUAGUUAAUAGCUGCAUUAUUUGACGUUAGCGACAGAAGAAGCACCGGCUAACUCCGUGCCAGCAGCCGCGGUAAUACGGAGGGUGCGAGCGUUAAUCGGAAUUACUGGGCGUAAAGCGCAUGCAGGUGGUUUGUUAAGUCAGAUGUGAAAGCCCGGGGCUCAACCUCGGAAUAGCAUUUGAAACUGGCAGACUAGAGUACUGUAGAGGGGGGUAGAAUUUCAGGUGUAGCGGUGAAAUGCGUAGAGAUCUGAAGGAAUACCGGUGGCGAAGGCGGCCCCCUGGACAGAUACUGACACUCAGAUGCGAAAGCGUGGGGAGCAAACAGGAUUAGAUACCCUGGUAGUCCACGCCGUAAACGAUGUCUACUUGGAGGUUGUGGCCUUGAGCCGUGGCUUUCGGAGCUAACGCGUUAAGUAGACCGCCUGGGGAGUACGGUCGCAAGAUUAAAACUCAAAUGAAUUGACGGGGGCCCGCACAAGCGGUGGAGCAUGUGGUUUAAUUCGAUGCAACGCGAAGAACCUUACCUACUCUUGACAUCCAGAGAACUUUCCAGAGAUGGAUUGGUGCCUUCGGGAACUCUGAGACAGGUGCUGCAUGGCUGUCGUCAGCUCGUGUUGUGAAAUGUUGGGUUAAGUCCCGCAACGAGCGCAACCCUUAUCCUUGUUUGCCAGCGAGUAAUGUCGGGAACUCCAGGGAGACUGCCGGUGAUAAACCGGAGGAAGGUGGGGACGACGUCAAGUCAUCAUGGCCCUUACGAGUAGGGCUACACACGUGCUACAAUGGCGCAUACAGAGGGCAGCAAGCUAGCGAUAGUGAGCGAAUCCCAAAAAGUGCGUCGUAGUCCGGAUUGGAGUCUGCAACUCGACUCCAUGAAGUCGGAAUCGCUAGUAAUCGUGGAUCAGAAUGCCACGGUGAAUACGUUCCCGGGCCUUGUACACACCGCCCGUCACACCAUGGGAGUGGGCUGCAAAAGAAGUAGGUAG